This is a long non-coding RNA of Macrobrachium nipponense, 848 nucleotides long. RefSeq lists it as uncharacterized. The record is from RefSeq and is a predicted model, not a curated record. Lineage: Eukaryota; Metazoa; Arthropoda; Malacostraca; Decapoda; Palaemonidae. The transcript has 3 exons.
UUGAAAUUGUACACUACGAUCAGCUGGUUUGCGUUCAGCUUCUUUCCCUUUCCUGUGCAUAACACCCUGAGGCUAAUCGAUGUAGCAACAAAAAUUAAAUCCAUUAACCUCAGCAAAGUAAUUUUUCAUGCCGAAAUCUUAAAUAUUAGGUAUAUAUUAUGACAUUUAUUUGACAACAGCAUGAAACAUUGUUAAAGAAAUGUAUUAACACAGAAAUAAUUCCGCCAAGACGGUUUUCCGCGCGAAUUUCGGCUACUGAACGAGGCCUGUCAUUACUGUUCACCAACCCUUUGAAGACUUUAGUCUAUACGGAAGAGCAAUAUUAUAAGAACACACCCUGGGCCAUGGGAAAACAGCCGGAAGCCAAGGAUUAGCCAAGAAGGUCCGACCCCCAGAUAGCUUGACCAGGUGGGCCUUGACCUGACCAUGAGGCCUGCAAGAUCGCACGUGUGCGUAUGCACAUGACAUAGAAAAUGGGAUGAAAAUUAGUAGUGAGAGACGAGGCAGACCUCUGGAACAAGCAGAGACGCUUUUGGGACUAAUGGAGAAACAUCUCUCCAACAGUUCCUUUCCCCCCAACCCUUUCCGCCUGCCUCCAUCCAGGAGCCAUUGCUGCGUACCCCAUGGUCGAAUCCAAGUAUACUUUACAGUGUUCCCUACCUCAUCUAGGCCUCCAACCAAACCUACUUCCGACGCCAAGCCAUCCCAACGACCAGUUACAGAGAGACCUUUAGCUGUGGAAUUCUCUCGCGGCCUCACCUUGAUUGAAGCUGCCUUCCCCAUGUCCCGGUACCUGAUUAUUACCCAGGAUCUGCUACGUCUUAGUAUUCAGUUUUAUCUUCUGAUCG